This 2092-nucleotide long non-coding RNA is filed under the name Mus musculus (house mouse). RNAcentral's name for it is "predicted gene 3230 (Gm3230)". The record is from RNAcentral. Lineage: Eukaryota; Metazoa; Chordata; Mammalia; Rodentia; Muridae.
ACAGCGCGCGGGCGGUCCGAGGGCACCGGAGGGCGCGCGCUCGGCCGGGGACUCGGGCGUAGGACGCUGGCGCAGCUGUGCCCCGCGCCGGCCGCUGGGGACGGUUGGAGGAGCUGCCCGCUCAGACGAGCGCCGCCCGCCCGCAAGCAGGAGUGCAGCGCGCGGAUGGUAGGAGGCGGGGCCGCGCUUGUUUACCUCAGGCCGCGCGGCCGCGUCACGUGGUCCCACAGGAAUGCGCGCCCCAUUCAAGCGGGGCGGCCCCGCCCUCCAGCGGAGACCUCAUGGGCGUGGCCGGGGAGGGCGAGGCGGGGGCUGGACUACGGACAUGCGCAUUGAGUGCGCUCCCAACCUGACUACGGUUGCUGGCUGCCUGGUACCUGGGAAGCAGAUCUGUGGGCUAUGCGGCUGUCCUGCUGUGUGACGCUGUGGCGGGACCAGCGUUGCUGGGGCAAACAAAUAGGUUGGAAUAACGUUUUUCUAAAACACUUCCGGACUAGGGACUGAGCUCUACCUUCAGGGCCAAUGGCAUUCAACUUCUUGAGUCGUUUCCUCCAGUUAACGUGUUUGGGUCUGGUCUACACGGUCUUGCUGCCCCGCUAAGCAAAAAUAGACGUUCCUGCACUGCUAACUUAAGUCACCUAGGAAAUGCAAGGGCGAAAGGAAGGCUUUUCAACAGCCUUCCUUGGAAUACCAAAUAACAUGCCGCCUUAAAGCCUUUUGAAAGUAGAUCGCGACUGUUAAACUUUGAGGCAAGAGGCACACAACCUGUUUUCUGGAACAGCACAGCAAAAUGAAAUAACAGACUGAACUGUGCUUCCUCUGCAACGGAAAGCCAGAGUGUUAUCAAAUUGGUACCUACUUGCAGUAACAGUAGCUUUUGCCUUAUUCUGAGUUUCAAUCCAAUUUUAAAUUUAGUUUCCAGAUAUACAGAUUGAAUUGGAGACUACUUCUUGGUAUGGAAAAACAGCCUGCAGGUUGUACUACCUGCGCGCCACCAUUCUGCUUGGAACAUAAUUUAUGCUUGUUACUAGGGUCUCUCGUUGGGGGUUCUUAGUCUCCUUAAUCAAAUAAAUUUAAAAUGUUCAAAAGGAAGCUCGGGGGGGGGGCAAUUUUACUAGAGUUUGAGAGGGUAGGCAAUCUGCUAAUCUUGGCAGGUGGCCAGAGAAGGGAAGGGGGGGAAAAAAAAGAAAAAAAGAAAAAAAGAAAAAAAAGCCAUGCCCUUUUAAGUUAGGACUGGAAAAGGCAGGCCAGCAGGUUCAGCAAUGGAGUUUGGCCAGCGGUUGCUCAGGGAAGGGUUGGUGUAACCCGCCUAUCAAGACUGGAAUGGGUGUAUACUAAACAGAUAUACUAACCCUGUUAUUUACCCCAUUGGGAAAAAAAAAAAUGGACACCUCUCCCCCCACCCCCACCCCGCCUCCGUACACUGAUAGGCACAUAUGCCUGCACACACAUUAGAAUUCCUCCUAGGGAUCUAUCUCCUGCUGGGAGGGAAAAAAAAAAAAAAACCGGCUGAAUCCCUGGGGACAUCCAGAGAAGAAACUUAUCUUCUGGAAAUGACCUUUCAGGAGAGAUUUGGAGCUGAGAAAGGAAUGGAUUGGGGACCACAUUUGCCAGUGUUUAGUUAGGCAGAGCUUUUGUUUUGUAUUUGAACCUCAUCCUCAGGAAACCCAACUCCAAGGCAGAAUUUGUGGAUUAGUAAGAUCUCUGUGUCCCACUUUCCGAUGUGGCCACAUUGAAUAAAUCUCCUUUUCUUUUUCUUGUGGCUUUCUUUUCCUUCAUUAAUUUGGCACUUUUAGCUGCCUUACUGAAGAAGGAUGGCCGAACUUGAGUUGGAACACAGUUUGUAACCCAUAAUUCUAGUAAUAGUAGCUUUAGAGAAAAGUAAAACGGCACAGAAUGUCCAUAAAAGCAUGCCUGGUAUCUUCAAGCAAACAAUGCAAAAGAGGAAAUGACCCUUUUCUGAAUGAGAGCUCAGAAGAGAAGGCAGGCCAGACCACAGGGCUGUUUUCCAGAGAAGGCCAGUGGCCACAAGGUGGGCAAGGUCUUCUGGGAAGGGAAUGUAUAUUAUCUUAUUAAAUGAAUUAUUAUCCUC